UACAGAGGGGGCAAGCGUUGUUCGGAAUUACUGGGCGUAAAGGGCGCGUAGGCGGCCAACUAAGUCAGACGUGAAAUCCCCAGGCUCAACCUGGGAACUGCGUCUGAUACUGGAUGGCUCGAGUUCGGGAGAGGGAAGCGGAAUUCCAGGUGUAGCGGUGAAAUGCGUAGAUAUCUGGAGGAACACCGGUGGCGAAGGCGGGUCUCUGGGCCGAUAUCGACGCUGAGGAGCGAAAGCGUGGGGAGCGAACAGG
This 253-nucleotide ribosomal RNA is filed under the name uncultured bacterium. RNAcentral's name for it is "partial 16S ribosomal RNA". It matches the Rfam family "Bacterial small subunit ribosomal RNA", at positions 524 to 776 of the family's 1533-position model. The record is from RNAcentral.